RNAcentral lists this long non-coding RNA (608 nucleotides) under Junco hyemalis (dark-eyed junco). Its description in RNAcentral is "lncRNA (ENSJHYG00000007112.1)". The record is from RNAcentral. Lineage: Eukaryota; Metazoa; Chordata; Aves; Passeriformes; Passerellidae.
CACAGCAUGUCUUCCCAUGGCCCUGAGGAGGGGCCUCAGCACUGUCGGGUUUUUAUCUUAAAAGAAUAAUUACUAAUUUUGUGUCUAUUUCAUGUUCAGAAACCACUUGACAUAAAACAGAUUUUUCAAAAUCUUUCUCUCACUAUUUUUUUUUUUAUUUUAGUGAAAGAAAAAUUAAAAUGAAAAAGGAAAAUGAAGAAGUUAAUGAUACCAGAUUUCAGCGAAGCAGGAUCAUAUUUUGUGAUACAACAGCUAAUAGCUGAAGAACUCUGCCAUGAAAGUCCCAAGCAGCCCAGCCUUAGCAGGUAGCAAGGAAAGAACAGAAUGUGUACAGAAGGAAUACAGCUACAACUGAUUCCUGGAAGCACAAGUAUAACUGGCUUUUAUUUUCCUUGAGGUCUCCUCAAAAUCAAAAUCUGUACUUUCUGUGAGAACCUGUUGUCAUGGGGGUUUUUCAGAAUUAUAAAUCAAUGGCAACUGUAAUGUAAUUCUUCAAGUCAAACUAUUUGGUUCAAAUUUGCAAAUGUGAAAUGAGCUUGCUUUCAUCCCUUCAAGUGCCAGAAACAGUUCAAAAUAAAUUGGGAUUUUGAUGAAUAUUUCUGUAUCCU